Zingiber officinale is the source of this 120-nucleotide small nuclear RNA. RefSeq annotates it as U5 spliceosomal RNA. Lineage: Eukaryota; Viridiplantae; Streptophyta; Magnoliopsida; Zingiberales; Zingiberaceae. The record is from RefSeq and is a predicted model, not a curated record. The transcript has a single exon.
CAGUUGCGUGAUAGGAACAAAGCGAAUUAUUCUUUCGUCUUUUACUAAAGAAUAUCGUGUACUUGUCACUAAAAACAACAAACAUUAAGGGGGUGUUUGGUUAAAUGAUGAGAAUCACUA